GAUGAAUGCUGGCGGCGUGCCUAAUACAUGCAAGUCGAGCGAACGGACGAGAAGCUUGCUUUUCUGAUGUUAGCGGCGGACGGGUUAGUAACACGUGGAUAACCUACCUAUAAGACUGGGAUAACUUCGGGAAACCGGAGCUAAUACCGGAUAAUACUUUGAACCGCAUGGUUCAAAAGUGAAAGACGGUCUUGCUGUCACUUAUAGAUGGAUCCGCGCUGCAUUAGCUAGUUGGUAAGGUAACGGCUUACCAAGGCAACGAUGCAUAGCCGACCUGAGAGGGUGAUCGGCCACACUGGAACUGAGACACGGUCCAGACUCCUACGGGAGGCAGCAGUAGGGAAUCUUCCGCAAUGGGCGAAAGCCUGACGGAGCAACGCCGCGUGAGUGAUGAAGGUCUUCGGAUCGUAAAACUCUGUUAUUAGGGAAGAACAUAUGUGUAAGUAACUGUGCACAUCUUGACGGUACCUAAUCAGAAAGCCACGGCUAACUACGUG
RNAcentral lists this ribosomal RNA (497 nucleotides) under uncultured bacterium. RNAcentral's name for it is "partial 16S ribosomal RNA". It matches the Rfam family "Bacterial small subunit ribosomal RNA", at positions 28 to 507 of the family's 1533-position model. The record is from RNAcentral.